Molecule: long non-coding RNA, 4702 nt
Filed under: Homo sapiens (human)
Lineage: Eukaryota; Metazoa; Chordata; Mammalia; Primates; Hominidae
Description: KHDC1 antisense RNA 1, transcript variant 21 (KHDC1-AS1)
Source: RNAcentral
AAGCAACCCAGAGCCCUCCUCCCGCCUGCUCUGUGUAGGAGACAGCCUGCGGAGCCCACUGCCGGCGCGCAGAGAGCCCAGCAGCUCUUGAGUCCAGGAAGCAAGGGUGGGAGGAGGGACGAGCCAGUGGCAAUGACCCAGACCCGGACGACCCCCAUUGCUGAGCCAGCGGAGCUGCUUGGAGGCAGAGGUUGCAGUGAGCUGAGAUUUUGCGACUACACUCCAACCUGGGCAACAGAGCGGGACUCCAUUCCAAAAAAAUAAGAAAAACAGAAAAAUAAUAAUUACAUCUGCAAAGACCUUAUUUCCAGAGACAGAGUUUUGCUGUGUUGCCAGGCUGAUCAACUCCUGAGCUUAUGCAAUCCACUCACCUCGGCCUCCCAAAGUGCCAGGAUUACAGGCGUGAGCCACCUUGCCCGGCCAAGAUGAGGUAUUAUUACAUCAUUAUUGUAAGCAGGCAAGAAGAAUCUGUUGGAUGAUUACAACAUUGCUGGAUUGAUAGCAGCCUCACCUGCCAGGCUCAAACUCCAGAUCCAAAGUCCACAAAUAUAUCAUAAAUCUGAAGAGGAACUGGGAGAAGCUUCUGCUGGCAGCUCAUGCCAUUGUUGCCAUUGAAAACCCUGCUGAUGUGUCAUAUCCUGCAGGAAUACUAGCUAGUGGGCUGUGCUGAAGUUUGCUGCUGCUGCUGGAGCCACAUGUAUUGCUGGUCACUUCACUUCUGGAACCUUUGCUAACCAGAUCCAAUCAUCUUCUGCCACCCACAUCUUCUGGUGGUUACUGAUUCUAGGGCUAACUAUCAGCCUCUCUCAGGGGCUUCUUAUGGUAACCUACCUACCUACCACUGCUGUAUGUAACAGAUUCUCCUCUGAGCUAUGUGGAUAUUGUCAUCCCAUGCAACAACAAGGAAGCUCAAUCACUGAGUCUAAUGUAGUGGAUGCUGGCCCAGGAAGCUCUGUGCAUGUGUUGCACCAUCUCCCAUGAUCAUGCCUGAUCUCUACUUCUAUAGAGAUCCUGAAGAGAUUGAAAAGGAAGAGUAGGCUGCAGCUGAAAAAGGAGGAAUUUCAAAGUGAAUGGACUGCUGUAGUGCAAGUUUACUGCUACUCAAUCUGAGGUUGCAGACUGGUUUAAAGACAUGCAGGUGCCCUCUGUGCCUAUUCAGCAGUUCCCUACUGAAGAUUGGAGCACUUAGCCUACCAUGAAUGACUGGUCUGCAACUUCCACUGCUCAGACCACUGAAUGGGUAAGAAUAACCACUGAGUGGCCUUAAGCUGUUCUUCCACAAGCUCUUAAACAAGAUGGAAAUAACGCUGAUGGAAAUAAACAACAGUUUCCAAGAAAACACGAACAGCUGAAGUGGCAAUGUUUAAGUAACAUCUGGUAGACUUUAACAUGAAUGUUAUUAAGCAGGAAAUUAUGAUCUUUUAAGUUGGAACAUGUAAUGUUAAUCCUUUUGCACCAAAAUAUCUCUUUAAGUCUAAAUUAUCCACUUUUUUUUUUAAUUCUUCGUAGAGAUAGAGGUUUCGCUUUGUUGCCCAGGCUGUUCUUGACUUCCUAACUUCAAGCAAUCCUUCUGCCUCAGCCUCCCAGAGUGCUGGGAUUAUAGGCAUUUGCCACCGUGCCUGGUGUACCCAGUUUCUGUUAUCAACAGAAUGCAGUGGUGUAUGGUUGCUAAAGGGUCCCAAGAUCAGGACCUACGUUAAGGUGGAUUUUGAAUUAUUUAAAAUUCUGAUUUUGUUUUAUUUUUAAUUAAUCUUUGGGGGAAGGAUGGGAGGGGGGUGAGGGUUGAAGAAGUAAACAUUGUACCUAUUGGAUACAAUGUUUAAUAUUUGUGUGAUGGGCACACUGGAAGCCCAAACCUCACUAUUACACAAUACAUUCAUGUAACAAGCCUGCACAUGCACCUCCUGAAUCUAUUUUUAAAAAUUUAAUUCUCUAGCACAGACUCCCUUUUUUUGGUAAGAUGGCGGGGUACGACUUAACUACUCGCAUCACGCACCUUUUGGAUCGGCAUCUAGUCUUUCCGCUCCUUGAGUUUCUCUCUGUAAAGGAGAUAUAUAAAGAAAAGGAAUUAUUACAAGGUAAAUUGGACCUUCUUAGUGAUGCCAACAUGGUAGACUUUGCUAUGGAUGCAUACAAAAACCUUUAUUCUGAUGAUAUUCCUCAUGCUUUGAAAGAGAAUAGAACCACAGUUGUUGCACAACUGAAACAGCUUCAGGCAGAAACAGAACUAAUUGUGAAAAUGUUUGAAGAUCCAGAAACGACAAGGCAAAUGCGGUCAACCAGGGAUGGUAGGAUGCUCUUUGACUACCUGGCGGACAAGCAUGGUUUUAGGCAGGAGUAUUUAGAUACAUUCUACACAUAUGCAAAAUUCCAGUAUGAAUGUGGGAAUUACUCAGGAGCAGCAGAAUAUCUUUAUUUUUUCAGAGUGUUGGUUCCAGCAACAGACAGAAAUGCUGUAAGUUCACUCUGGGGAAAGCUGGCCUCUGAAAUCUUAAAGCAGAAUUGGGAUGCAGACAUGGAAGACCUUACAUGGUUAAAAGAGACCAUAGAUAAUAAUUCUGUGAGUUCUCCACUCCAGUCUCUUCAGCAGAGAGCAUGGCUCGUUCACUGGUCUCUGUUUUCUUCAAUCACCCCAAAGGUUGUGAUAAUAUUGUUGAUCUCUUCCUUUACCAGCCACAGCAUCUUAAUGUGUCCACACAUUCUUCACUAUUUGACUACAGCAGUCAUAGCAAACAAGGAUGUUCGAAAACGUUGGCAGGUGCUAAAAGAUCUAGGUAAAGUUACUCAACAGGAGUCUUACACAUAUAAAGACCCAAUUACAGAAUUUGUUGAAUGCUUAUAGAUUAACUUUGACUUAGAUGGGGCUAAGAAAAAGCUGAGAGAAUGUGAAUCAGUGCUUGUGAACGACUUCUUGGUGGCUUGUCUUAAGGAUUUCAUUGACAAUGCCCAUCUCUUCAUAUUUGAGACUUUCUGUCACAUCCACCAGUGUAUCAGCAUUAACAUGUUGGCAGACAAAUUGAACAUGACUCCAGAUGAAACUGAAAGGUGGAUUGUAAAUGUGAUUAGAAAUGCAAGACUGGAUGCCAAGAUUGAUUCUAAAUUAGGUCAUGUGGUUAUGGUAACAAUGUACUCUCACCCUAUCAGCAAGUGAUUGAAAAGACCAAAAGCCUUUCUUUUAGAAGCUAGAUUUUGGCCAUGAAUAUUGAGAAGAAACUUAAUGACAAUAGCAGGUCAGAGGCUCCUAACUGGGCAACUCAAGAUUCUGGCUUCUACUGAAGAAACAUAAGGAAAAGAUUUUAAAAAAACUCUAAAAGAAAGAUGAAAUAAUAAAACUAUUAUAUAAAGGGUGACUUACAUUUUGGAAACAACAUAUUGAGUGUAAAUUGUGAAGAAUUGGAAUAAAAUUGACUGAUUCAAAAAAAUUUAAUUCACAAAAAAAUUUUAAUCCUUUUAAGCUAAUUAUAGAUUCACAUGUAGUUGUAAGAAGUUACAAAGAGGCUAGGUGCAGUAGCUGACGCCCAUGAUCCCCGCACUUUGGGAGGCCGAGGCAGGCAGAUCUCUUGAGGCCAGGAGUUUGAGACUAGCCUGGCCAACAUGGCAAAACCCCAUCUCUACAAAAAAUUAGCAAAGCAUGGUGGCACAUGCCUGUAAUUACAGCUACUUGGGAGGCUGAGGCAUGAGAAUCACUUGACCUGGGAUUACAAGUGUAAUCCCAGCCAUAGGCUGGGUGCAGUGGCUCACACCUGUAAUCCCAGCACUUUGGGAGGCCAAGGUACGGGUGGAUCACCUGAGGUCAAGAGUUCAAGACCAGCCUGGCCAACAUGGUGAAACCCCGUCUCUACAAAAACACAAAAAUUAGCCGGGCAUGAUGGUGCGCACCUGUAAUCCCAGCUACUCAGGAGGCUGAGGCAGGAGAAUCGCAUGAACCCAGGAGGCAGAUGUUGCAGUGAGCCAAGAUCACGCCAUUGCACUCCAGCCUGGGCAACAGAGUGAGACUCCACCUCAAAAAAAAAAAAACAAAAAAAAACCACCAGCCAUUUGGGAAGCCAAGGCAGGAUUGCUUGAGACCAACCAGAAGUUCAAGGUUGCCUGGGCAACAGAGCAAGACUGUCUCGAGACAAAACAAAAAGUCAGCAUCUUCUGCCCACUUUUACUUUAACAUACAUUUAUGGAUCUAUUGUCUCUUUCCCUGUUCUAAAACUUUAAAUUUCACAAGAAUGAAGAUUUUGCUGUCUUGUUUCCUGCUGUGUCCCCAGCAUAAACAGCAUAAAGAAGUGCCAUAAGAUAGAAAUUUUUGUUUUCUGUUCACCAGUAUAUCCACAGCACCUAGAACAGCAUCUGCUUUAGACUUAUUAGAUGAAGACUUAAAAAAAAAAGGAACAGCACUUCUGCACAUAUUUAGCACUUGAUACAUAUUUGUGGAAUAAUUUCUAUCAUAACUAGCAGCUACUUCCUAAUUUGAUAUGUAGCAUCCCGUAUUAACAGGACUUUUGUGAAUGGAGAGGACAUCUAUUUAUUCUUUGUUAUGUGCCAAAUAUAUUUGUAUUAAUCAUAACUCUUAAUAUUCCUUUAAAAUUAAAUAAUUGUUUCCACAGCUCUUAAAAUAGAAUUUAGGAACCUAGCAACAUGCCACUCAUCCAUUAACAGUGAUAAAUUAUUUAAUUUUAUAAACUUUUCAUUAAAGUAACUGAUAUAGUUUGGA